AGUCACUCUGCGACGGCGGCCGCACAAACUGUUUAGUUAUCGAGGAGUCGGAAGUGACGCGCAACGCCAUUCGCCACCAUUAUCGUUUAUAGUGAACAGCCCGGUCAUUGGUGCUUUGUCGGCCGGGCAUGCCGAGCACCGGAGGAGGAAGCGAGACGAAGCGAGGCCGCGCUGGCGCCGACAGCGCUUACUGGCGGCGGCGGCGGCGUUCACAACCGUCUCGCUGCGAGUUGCGACUACGGCCGCCAGCAGCACAAACGAGCAUCAGCCAAGUGCUCAACCAGCUCAACAAGCUACAGUGCAGGCACUGAGAGGCAGGAGCCAUUAGCCUCGUCCGCCAAGACAUCGUCUCUCUCGAACUAUCUUUCUCUCUCUAUCUCUCUCUUUCUCUUGCACGCACGCAGAGAGCGCGCUAUACGCCAUAUUCCGCAACAGCAGCAGCAGCAGCAGUGUGCUCUUCCAAAAGGAAGCUAGCAGCAGCAGCAGCAGCCUUCGCCUGGCUCAUUUACCAGACAGUUAUAUUAUGAGAGUGAAGAACGAAAUGGACGACGAUGAAAAGGGAAAAUUGUUCGUCGGUGGACUCUCUUGGGAAACCACCCAGGAGAACCUCCAGCGCUACUUCAGUCGCUAUGGGGAGGUCAUCGACUGCGUAGUCAUGAAGAACAGCGAGUCUGGUCGGAGUCGUGGAUUCGGCUUCGUUACCUUCAGUGAUCCCUCCAACGUCGGCCUCGUGCUCCAAAAUGGUCCUCACCAGCUUGAUGGUCGUACGAUCGAUCCAAAGCCCUGCAACCCACGUACGCUUCAGAAACCCAAACGAACUGGUGGCUUUCCCAAGGUUUUUCUUGGAGGUUUGCCCAGCAACGUCACAGAGACCGACUUGAGAUCAUUCUUCCAGCGCUUUGGAAAAGUUAUGGAGGUCGUCAUUAUGUACGACCAAGAAAAGAAAAAGUCCAGAGGCUUUGGCUUUCUCAGCUUCGAGGAUGAAGAUGCUGUGGAUCGCUGUGUUGCAGAGCACUUUGUCAACUUGAAUGGAAAACAGGUUGAGAUCAAACGCGCUGAGCCAAGAGACUCGCAAAAUAAGAUGAAUGACAGUCAUCCCGGACAAUGGGGUCCACCGCAGCAGGGACCACCAAUGGGAAUGGCUGGAAAUAUGGGACCCAUGGGGGGACCCAACGGGCAGAUGGGAGGCCCGAUGAUGGGUGGCCCAAUGGGCCCGCCAGGGAACAUGAUGCAACAGUAUCAAGGUUGGGGCACCAGUCCUCAAACUGGUGGCUACGCCGGCUACAGUGCUCAGUAUAACACUCAAGGCUGGGCCGCCCCACCGGGGCCACCGCAGCAGCAGCAGAUUCCACCUCCGCCUCCGCACCAGUGGGGCAGUAGUUAUAACGUUCAACCAGCUGCAGCCAAUCAGGCUUAUGGAAGCUACGGCGACAUGUAUUCGAGGCAGACAAGUGGAUCCGGAGCGCCCGGUUCGUCGAGCAGCUCCGCCAAAACACCUGACUACACUGGAUACACCGGAUACAGCAACUAUGCCGACACCAGCUAUCCACCUCAGCGCUCUUAUCAAGGCGGUGAAAGCAGCCAAGGUGGGUAUGCCGCCAGCGUUCCUAAGCCCGGCCAACAAGCCUUUGAUUUCAACAAAGAGUGGCCCACCUCAUGACCGUUUUAAUUUCAACCCUACCAUCCGUCGCCACGGAUCUAACAAGCGCCCAAGGCUCUUCCUCCUGCGGCCUUUCUCUGCUCUCGUAAGCUAGUAGCUCGUUCGGCUUCAUUGUCUCACAAAACACACAUACACCCAUAUACUAUCCUGUUACACGUGCGCGCGCACGCACGCGCACAUACACACACACACACACACACACACACACACACAAACGCGCGCGCGUAUUUAAACUACCAUCUUUCGAUAUGUACUGUCUGUCUCUUUCUCUCAUUCUGUCUACACCGGCCCACUCUUGUCAACGUCUCUCUUAACAGCGAUCAAUCAAAACAUUUCUUUAUUAUCAUACGUAAAUUAUAUUAUUUUAACAAAUUUUUCUUGCUGUAAUCCUAGCCAACUUAUGCCUCGAUCGCACACAUGUUAUCUACUAUACAAUAUCGAGCUACGAUUGCGACAAAUUAUCAAUCAAGUGUCAAAGAAAGUAUAAUUAUUAGAUCUAGAACGUAACAAUGUGGGUGAUAUAAAAUAAUUACCAAGUAAGAUAUCUAAGUUUUAAGAAGGUCAAUUGUUUGUACGAUGAAAAAAAAAUUAAUGUUAAAUGUUAUUACUCGCGAUCGACGCCAAAGUAUGCUAGGAUUUUCUAAAAAUUAACAAACAACAUCGGAUAGAUCGCUUCCAGAGGCUCGUCGCUAUCGAGAGAUUAGUGAAAGCCUUAUGAUCAUCACUUAAUCUUAAGAUAUUGGAAUCAAUAGAAACGUCAAAUUGCCAAAAUUAAAUGAAUGCGAAUUACAUUAUAGAUCGUCGAGUCGAUACGACGUUGACAAAACCAAGAGAAAUUUUAAGUAAUUAAAGUAAACAUGUUGAUAUAACGUCGAUAAAAUAAACGACAAUAGGCCACCUAUGGUGCAAGCGAGAGCUCUUCGGCGCUGGGACACCGAAGGCAGAAAAUUAAUCAUGCUCUUAUAUAUAUACAUACAUACGUACAUACAUACAUACAUACAUAUAUACACACAUACACACAUACAUAUAUACAUAUAUUUGUCGUGCACACUGUUUCUGCGACCUUCCAGUACAAACGUAUAUAUACAAAAUGUGAAGAAAACAAAGAACAACAAAAAACAAAAGGUGUUCUUUUUAACAAUCAAACUUUCAGCAAAUGUUAUGUGUUAUGGUCUACGAUCGAGGCGAAGGAGCGACAAGCGAUUGAUAAAGCAUUAAGAAAGAAUCGACGACGGUGGCGAUCACCACUGUGGCCCAUACGCUUUACCGAGAGAUAAACGAGCACUGCAAACUCUCCUUUUUUUCAAUCAUGUUAUAGUCUGUAACACAGUCAUUUUUUUAUAUAUUUAGUGCGCUCAAGAUUAAUUAUUACUUUAAAUUUAGUACGCAGUUUUGUUAAAGUAUUUCCUUCUCUUUUAAGUGGCAGUCUAUCAAACGCUCGUGCAUCUCUCAAAGGCGAUGUAAGUUACAAUAGAAAAAACGAAUUAAGAGUUUAAUACAAAGAAAUUAAUUUUAAAUGUCAAAAAGUGGGGAGGGAGUGAGCGCGAGUGUGACUCCGCGAGAAUGGAAUAUCAGGAUGAUUGCGUGGAUGUGCUGCGUGUGUGCAUGUACGGAAGAAAGAGAAAGAAAGACAGAAUGCGAGAAUGAAGAGGUCGACUAUCUAAAUUGAAGCGGCAGGCUCGCGAUAUAUCGGAACGACCAACCCAAUUUACAAUCAAUGUGAAUCUACUACCUUUUAGUAGUUAAGAGCUAAUAAACAGAAAGACAUAAUAAAUUAUUGAUGCGGUUUUGCGAGUCAAUAAGAUAGAUCGAAUUUAUCAGUAACGGUUAAAGUAACAAAAUUUGAUGACAGUAGCUUUACAUGUGUAGAUCUAAUUUGAAAAACUGCGUAUGCAUGUUUGUAUAUCUCACUUGACAUCAGGACACGGGCUGCUCCUUCGUGAUCCUUUUUAGAAAACUUUUUAACGUGUACUGUUAUUUUAUUGUAAAAUACUAUUGGAAAACAAGCUGCGUUUGAGUACUUGUUUCAUGUUUUUUUUUCUUUUUUUCUUUUUUUUUAUUAAUGCUCCUACAAAUUUUUUUAAGGAUUUUUAGAAUUUUUCUUAACUGUUUCAUUUGAGUUGUCGGUGAUUAAACGUAAUUGAAAGAUCCUUUUUAUGCACAACACAGAUAAGUCCGUAAUUUUUAUUGUAAAAUGUUGGAGUUGUAAACUGUAAAUCAUUUUUAAUUGUCACUUCAAGCUUAAGAGUUGAGCUGAUCUUUUUAAUUUAUAUAUAUAUAUAUACACGAAUAUACAUAAAUACCUAUUAAUAUACAUGUAUAUUUUUACCGUGGUUUUGUAAUUAAUAAUAAUGAUUAGGCAUGAUGAUGUAAAAAGCAGUUGUACACCAUUUUUUAUAAACGACUAUUUUAUUACGAUCAUUGUUACUAUAUAAUUCUUACGAUUACUACUAUUUUUAUUAACUACUAUUCCCAAGUCAACUAAAGUGCCCGUAGCCAUGAUAAUGCGGUUAUUACUUAUUAUGACAGUCUGUUGUUGUAAAUUAAUAUUGCUGUUACUGCUGUACAAGAUACUUCGCCAAUGAUUAUUUGUGCCUUACACAUUUUGAAUGCUGAUAAUUACGAACUUUUAGCCUUUGCGAAUGAAAAAAUUUAGAUCUACAGAAUAAAUAAUGAAAAUAUCAGCACAAACUUACUCUUACAUUUUCUGUACACAUACGUGCUUCGAUUUUGAUAGUUUAUUUUCGAUAAUUCGCAUGUAAUUUUAAAGUUUGAAAUGAGAUUUCGGAUACUUCAGUUAAUAAUUAGGAUUAAGUAAUGGCUCAACUAAUAAUAACGAUAAGAAAAAAUUGUAAAUGUUUGGAUAAAAUGCCGGAUAACAGCGGUACGAUAAGUGAUAUUUGGUUGAAAAAUCCACCAGUUGUUGCUUAAUUAAAGUUGUAAAUAUCUAACAAGAUCAAUUGAUCAGUUAAUUUAUAAAGUCAGUAAGUAAGUAAAUAAGUAAGUAAAUACGAAUACGUAGAGCUCGAGAUUAAAAGAAAACGUAAUAAAAGGAUUUUUUCCUGUAUUGUGAUGGUCGCUUAAGGAAAGUUAUCAGAUUUAUAAGUACUUUCAAUAAAUAGAUAAGGUGUGGCGCAUACCUUGGGCACAUAAUUGUGCUCGGGCGCUUUCAGUUUCAAAUCUAUACUUAAUGCUGAGCAAUGUUGAGGCACAAAUAAUACGAAUGGCACGAAUGAAGUUGAAUUAGUCGUGAGAAAAGGAAAGACAAGCAUACAACUUAAAAAAAGUAAAAUUAAUAUUAUAUAAAACUAAUAAUGAUUGACCUGGUAGAGUUACGUCAAGACAAGGAUUAAGACAAAACGUAAAUUAAGUUUAAAACAGAGGAACCUAUAUUUAUAUUUGGAAAAGCAAAUAUAAUUAGUAUUUUUGGAUGGCACUUGGAGUAAAGGUAAAUUAGUCAAAAAAGCUCGUAUGACGACUGUGAGUGGAUAGCGUUAGGGAGCGAAUAAUUAAGAAUAAUUAAGCUACUUUGGAUAAUUAAGGGAUUAAUAGUUGAUUAAUUACUGCUGCUUAGCCGCUUUCACGUCGGCUUACUCUCAGGGUUGUUAACUACUUUUCUAAUCGUCUGCUUUCGGUUUAAGUCCUUCGUAUAUAUCGUAUGUGUAGCUAAAAUAGUUGCUUUCUAUACACUCACGUUAUCAAAUAGAGGCUUAUUACGAUUGUUGAAUCAAUAAAUACGCGGUGAUUGGCUAACGACUACACAGCCAAACUCAACUAAUAGUGCAAAAUCUAAACUGGAGAGGUAACUUUGUGACGACUCUGCACAGCAACGACAACAAAAUAAACAAUCAAAUCUAAUAAAGUCGGACUGAUUACGUUUCAGGCGACACCAGUAUUUUAUUAUUUAUCGUCAGGGAGCCACUAUUCGCGUGCGCGACUAGACGCGGGCAGGACAGUUUGAUCGAGCGAGUACUUGAGAAUUAGCUAGGUCACAGGUGGGUGUGCUUGCGUGGUGCGUUUGGGAGCCGAGUGGAUGAGAGCAGGUGCGACUGUCGCGGUGUGUGAGCAGAGGCGCGAAUGCGGUUGAGAAGCCGUGCACGUGCUUGUGUUUGUCUGUCUGUCUGUCUGUCUGUCUGUCUGUCUGUCUGUGAGCGAGAGGGACGGCAAUAACCAUCACUUUCGUUUUCGCAAGCGGCAAAUCUGAUGCCAACUUUUCCGUAGAUUAAAGAUUAUCGCUAAGAGUGGCCCUUUUGUCAAAGACUGGUUUUAGCGACUAAUUAAAAGAAGCGAUUACAUUACAGCGUCAAAGUAUAUCACGUGUAAAAGAUCAAGUUCUUACUCUAUUCUACGUAGCUGCACGUCCACCACGACGAUUAAGAUUUUUACUUUGAAACCAUUCGAAGCUAUUUUCUAGCAAUGAUUAAUGAUUAAAGGAUAAAUAUUAAUGCUUAACGAUUAACAUUAACGUUUAAUAAUUAAUGAUAAUGCUGGCGUGCUGUCCUCACUUGUAAUGUAAUUUUAAUACAGUUGAAGACGUCUAACGAUUACUAAUUUUUUUUUCUGCUCCCUCUCCGAGUACAUACACUUUUAUAUAUACACAUAAUAUAUAUACAUAUAUAUAAAUAAAUAAAUAUAUAUAUAUAUAUGCGCGUUGCCCAUGGUGAUGAUGAUAAUGAUAUUUCUAUAAGUUUUUGUUAAUUUGUUUCUUCUAAAAUCUUAAGAAUUAAGCGCUUAUUCUAAGGCGUCACGUAUUGAAGUAAUAAUCAAGUCCGUAAUCUGUACAAACGAGUUUAUUAACGCACGAUCCAGUAUGUAUCUAAUUUCUAAGGGAGUAAAUUAUACGAAGAAUUCAAGUUAUUAAGUGUAGCAAAGUAAAAAACUAAAGUAAUAUUUAACGAAAAAAGUGAUGCAAAACGUAAUGUAAAGAUAAACAACGCCGCAUUCGACUUCCCGUAGCUUUGAAAACUAGAUAGCUUCGAGGCAACGGAAAAGUCAGUGGGAGAGAAUUACGGGAAGUCGAGCUUUGGUCGUCGCUUCUUCGAACAAGCGCUCUUUCGCUCUCAUUUGAUAGAUUAUCAGUCGUUCAAUGUGCGUGUCGAAUCCGAGAAGGUUGCAGAACUUUGUACGCACUUUUCGUAUAUAUAUACAUUUACACAUACAUCUAUAUAUAUAUAUAUAUAUAUAUAUAUAAUGUAGAUGAACACAGAUAUAUUUACGUAUGCCUAUAUUAUAUACUACGUUAUAUGACCCGAUCGGACAUUUAUCGACCUCACACCUUCCGCCUUCCUUUAUUAAAUGACCAUUGUCACAUUGUCCGCUUAAUUUUAGGACUCUUUAAUUAAAUUUUGGGUUGCCUCGCUUCUCAUUUACGAUUAUUAUUAUGACUAUUAUUAAUGUAGUUGGUAAACCGAAAAACAAGUUGAAUGUUAUUUUUAUUAAUAUAAUUGCUAUACACAUUACAUUAUACGACCAACCGUGCGUAUUCUUAAUAAUGACAAACAAGUGGUUAUGAUGAUAAUUUUAAUAUACAGCGCUUGAAACAUUUUACGAUAUACAAUGUCACUACAAUAAGCUUUCAGAGAAAAUGCGUUUAAUUUUAAGAGACCAUUUGAUUUUGAGAAUAAAAUUGGCUUUUCUUUCUGACAAACAUACUGUAAUCUACAUUGCCAGUAAAUUGCAUUUUUCAUCGUCAGUUUCAACUUUCUCUUAUUCUGGCUCUCAUUUUCGGACUUGAUUUCACAGCUUACUGCCACUGGCCACAUUUUCACGAAAAAUUCCUUUAUGCAUAAGCGAACUGCUCGCACAAGUAAGUUCGCUUAUCGAUUUGUUCUCGUGAUAUCAGCUUAGGAAAAAACAGGCAAACAAACAUAAGAGAAAAAAGACAAGAAAAGAGGCUAUUUAUCGUCGGGUUUAUGGAACUAUAUAUGAAUGUAUAAUUUUUCCAACUCGAUGCUAUUCGCUCGUUUUAAGAUCCAUGUAAAAUCAAUGGAGUAUCUCGUUAUUUAAGGAAAACACGUUAGGAAACGACCGACUGCAUUAAAUUAAAGAUAAAUAGUUAAGGAGAUAGUGAGUUCUUAUUGUAAAAAGUAACCAAGUAAAAAGUAAAUUGACGAGUAAUCGAGCUGUUGCGCGAGCGUCUAAAGUACUGUAAAGAUAUAGCUUAAAGAGUACGUCUACGAGUACGGUUAAAUAGAAUCCCUGAUAAAGUUCAAAAUACUUGCUGUACCUCAAAGACUCAGCGCUUACACACGCCAUUACGUUCGACUUUUUCUUCUCGGACCUCUUUAUCUUUUUACCUCUCGAUUAGCCUCUGUCCAAAGAAGUCUCCCACCCAAAGGCCAUCGAUGCCGUCUCUCCGUCACUCCCAACCCGAACCCGAACCCAACCCAACCCAAUCCAACCCAAUCUUUCCUCGGAAAUAUCAAAUAGAUCACUGCGAUAAUUGUCAUGUACACGGCCAUGAGCAAAUGACUGGUUAAGCGCAUAAUCAUUUCGCUUAGUAGUUAAUCAACCGUGAAUAGCAUUGCGGCAAACGAGAAUCAAGUUAACAACCAAUAGGUUAUAACAUAACGCUACAUUGGCAGAGAGCAGAGAGCAGAAAGACCAAAGUCCGAGUGUACGAUCGAUUGAUCUUGAGAUAUCUCGAACGUUAGCUAUAAUUACACCUCAAGCAGUUAUGAGAUUUUACUUUUUAUUCGAAACUAGAAACAAUUAAGUGAAGCAAGUGUGAUUUUAUUAAUCGAUAAAACAUAGUAAAAUGUCAAUGUGGUCGAGGGUUUUUGAUAAACAAACAAAUAUUUAUAAACCAGUUAGGAAGUAACAUGUAAACGAUCAUAAAACACAGCAGCAUCAAUGAGCGAAAGCUAGUUGACAAACAAUUUAUAAUGGCUAAUUUAAAGUAUGGCGAGGACGACGACAACAAGGACGAUGACGACGACGACACAAGUGAUACUGAGAUACGUUUAACAUACUUGUAAUAAAUAAAAAAUCAUAAAAGAUUAUGAGAGCGCCGUAUAUUACAAUAUUUCGAGAAAUAUAGCGUGUAAUAGGACAUAACGAACUGAGCCAGUCCACGAGGUAUUCUAUCGUGGUCGAAUGAUGUACGGGACAUAAUGACUUGCCCGACAAACGAAGCUUUACUAUUAAUUUACUGAUACUUAAGGUAAUAUUGUUUACUAAAAUAAUAAUAAUAAAAACUUUAGUGUUAACAUAUACCACUAUCUACGAGAUAACUCUACGUUAUCACUGCUACGAUUAUUAUAUACAUACCUAUAGCUAUACAUUAAUCAUAAGUUGAUACAAUUAAAAGUAACUAUAGUGAUUGCGCUAUAACGAUACACAAAUAUAGAGAAAUAUCGAGAUACAAAUUGGGCUAUUCAUAAAUAUAAACAUAUAUAUAUCUAUAUAUAUAUGUAUAUAUAUAUAUAUAACUUAUACAAAUACACUAUGGUAUAGAUGAUUGUGAGGACGACAAUUAA
RNA transcript from Phymastichus coffea, 9138 nucleotides. It is a transcript of the gene named heterogeneous nuclear ribonucleoprotein 27C-like, with no coding region annotated. NCBI's taxonomy places the organism in Eukaryota, Metazoa, Arthropoda, Insecta, Hymenoptera, Eulophidae. The transcript has 7 exons. The record is from RefSeq and is a predicted model, not a curated record.